This is a long non-coding RNA of Aedes aegypti (yellow fever mosquito), 1202 nucleotides long. RefSeq lists it as uncharacterized. Lineage: Eukaryota; Metazoa; Arthropoda; Insecta; Diptera; Culicidae. The record is from RefSeq and is a predicted model, not a curated record. The transcript has 3 exons.
UGAAUAAUUCUCGUAACCAACGCAAGGUGGCACUUUUAUCCUGUCAUUUCGCUAAGGAGUUUGUUAUUAUAUUUUAGUUCAACCACAAGUGCACAAGUGAAUUGCAAUUGAAAAACUAAUUUGCAAUGAUCUAAAUUUGAUUAUUGAAAACCAAACCAAAAACUUGCGAGAUGCCCAACAAAACCCCUCUUCUUGCAAACUGUUCCACAACCCCUUUACAGCUCGAUAGAACGGAACAUCUGAGUGGAGAUGUUUUUUGGUUAUGGCUCUACGAUAUCAAUGAACUAUAUAUUCUCACUAUCAAGAUUAGUCAAUGAUGUAACAACAUUAUUUCUACUGUGGCUUCGAUGAGAUUUAUUAGCAACAAUGAAAGGAAUCAUUCCACUGGUUUGCGAUCUCGCAAAAAAAAAAAUACAAAAUUCGCAAUGCUGGAUGCGAUCAAAAUGAUGCACGGCUAUGGCUACCGAUAACAAAACUACCGUGAACACUUCCGCCUUCCUAUAGCAGUCAGUAUUAAGCCCGUGAUACGAAUAAACAGCUGUGUUGGGCGAGACUCUGAUGGCCAAAGAUACGGAAUGCGUUCACGAGCUUCGUCAAGGUAGAGGAGCAUCUAUAAGAGCAUUCCUCGACGAUAAUUUCGCUGAAUGAUACGUGGCUGGUUGCCAACGAGGAAUUUAAUCAGCUCCAAUAGAUUUUCCUUGGAACUGCCGAUCCGAACAGCCACAUGGCCAAGUUGGUUCGCACGGCCAAUACGCUGAAAAGUGUUUGUGAUUCAUCCUAUUGAAUUGAUUUAUUUUUAGGACCUUAACGUUUUACUAACAACAACGAGCUUAUCAGUCCCAUUGCAAUACACAAAACUAACAUUUUGAUUGUAUGAGGGAAAUGCAACUACUAUUCCAAGCAUUACCCUUUUUUUUACUGCACAUUUUAGUUCACAUUUUUGUUAUGGUAUCGGUCACAGUUUAGCUCACAUUAUUAUCAUAGAUCAAAAGAAUAAUCUAUCUCUGCACAUUGCACGUUCGUUUCAAAACGAUUGAUUCAGAGACCUAACAUAAGAAUUAGCAUAUAUUGUAAACUUAUCAGGCUUACUAUACUAAACCUAUGUUAAGCUAGUCUAUUCAGAUCUCAAUAUGUUAAGCAUAGUGCUAAUUAGUUCAGAAUUCGCGGCAAUUUUGUUCAUACAUUAAAUUCAUAAAUUUUCA